RNAcentral lists this ribosomal RNA (228 nucleotides) under uncultured bacterium. Its description in RNAcentral is "partial 16S ribosomal RNA". It matches the Rfam family "Bacterial small subunit ribosomal RNA", at positions 118 to 347 of the family's 1533-position model. The record is from RNAcentral.
UGAGCAAUCUGCCCUUCUCGUCGGAAUAAGCGUUGGAAACGACGUUUAAUGCCGAAUACGACCUCCUUUCGCAUGAUCGGAGGUGGAAAGCUCCGGCGGAGAAGGAUGAGCUCGCGGCCUAUCAGCUAGUUGGUGAGGUAACGGCUCACCAAGGCAACGAUGCGUAGCCGACCUGAGAGGGUGAUCGGCCACAUUGGAACUGAGACACUGUCCAGACCUGUACGGGAG